RNAcentral lists this transfer RNA (72 nucleotides) under Ovis aries (sheep). It matches the Rfam family "tRNA". From Rfam's summary of the family: Transfer RNA (tRNA) molecules are approximately 80 nucleotides in length. Their secondary structure includes four short double-helical elements and three loops (D, anti-codon, and T loops). Lineage: Eukaryota; Metazoa; Chordata; Mammalia; Artiodactyla; Bovidae. The record is from Rfam by way of RNAcentral.
UCUCUGGUGGUCCAGUGGCUAAGACUCUGCAAUUGCCAUGCAGGGGGCCUGGGUUUGAUCCCUGUCAGGGAA